AACGCAUCUUGCGCUCCUCGGCAUUCCGAGGAGCAUGCCUGUUUGAGUGUCGUGAAGUCUCGUCGGACGGGGUCGUCGCUUUCGCGGCGAGGGCCUCGUUCGGAUUUUGGACGGUCCUUGCCCUCGCCGACCGCGAGGGCUCGUCUUUGAAUUCAUGGGUCCUUUUUUUCUCCCCCAAGGACGGGCGUGAUAAGUCUUGCGUCGUCGGCGGAAAAGACCUUUCGGGGGGACCCCUUCCUCCUCCUUGUCGGGAGGAGACUUUCCACGAUCCUGACCUCAAAUCAGGCAGGACUACCCGCUGAACUUAA
RNAcentral lists this unclassified non-coding RNA (308 nucleotides) under uncultured fungus. Its description in RNAcentral is "partial contains 5.8S ribosomal RNA, internal transcribed spacer 2, and large subunit ribosomal RNA". The stretch from base 1 to 52 matches the Rfam family "5.8S ribosomal RNA", at positions 103 to 154 of the family's 154-position model. Lineage: Eukaryota; Fungi. The record is from RNAcentral.